UGUGAACUGCAGUAAACAGGAAACUGUAGCAAACAGGCAGACUUUCUAGCCUCUGCGUGCCUGUGUGUGUGCAUGUGUGUGUGUGUGUGUGUGGUGUGCGUCAUGUGCACGUCUCAGUGCAUAACUAGAAGUGAGCAUUCACUUCUAGUUAUAGUUGUACCUAAUCUGCAAUUAGGUAGAUUGCUUUCUGUAUCAGAAGAAGUCGUGGCUGCUGAGACACAAGUGGCCCCAUGCCGUGUCACCCCGUGUUCGUGCUGCCCACGUGCUGCUGCCGAGGAGGUUCAGAGAAAGAAUUGCAACACGCAUUCGAGUCUGGUGCCUCUUUUCCUGCUCGUCUCAUGUACGUCUGACCCUUCUCAGCACCGAAGUCCCACUUCUCCCUCUGCUGGUGGAGAUGUUCCUCAUCCAGUCUUGCAGGUAAGCAAGUCCUGUCCUGGUAUCCUCUUGUCUCGUGCCCACAUGUCCGGCUGUUCUGAUUGUGCCCAGGAUGUGCCCAGCACCUAGACCAUGCUGCCUCACCUAUUAUGAAUCUUCUGUUGAAGUAACCCAAAGAUUUCCAGGUUGGAGUGUCCAAACUGAAGACAUGAUUUUCAGGCUUUUAGCUGGGAGAAGACUUGAAUCUGUGUCCUGAAAUGGAAGAGGAUAUUCCAAAAGUGUCAAGUUCUCCACCACUGGAAAUGUCCAAGUAGAGAGCAGGCAACCAUUUUCCAUAUGUGCUUGAGAAAAUGGUGUAUUUCAUCUCGUGGAAGCCUCCUGACGCCCAGUUUCUGAGUUCCCGUCGGUCUCAGCACCUGCUGGCUCAGAUCCAUCAGUCAGGUUCCCAUCGUUCGCGUGUGACCUUGGAUGUCCCUGCUUCUUCUUUGCUGCUCAGAGAGUCCCGUUUGCAUCUUCAUCACAGCCCCUCCCCCGUGGUCUGCCCACACUGCACCUGCUCCUCUAGCAGAGCCUCCAUUGUCUGAGGGAAGGCAACGUCUUGCUGACCUCUGCAGGCUCACAGCUGACCCCAGAGCAGUGCGCAGCAUAGGCCCUCCGUAAAUCCCCAGGGCAGAUGGGAGGGGAGGAGAGCCAGCGAGAGAGAAGGUAGGAGUGAGCCCCAGGGCCCAGCCGCAGCCUCGACACAGCUGGAAGGGCAAUGGUUUCUGCCCCUUCUUCGCCGUCACCUUCUGGAGGAACAGGCUUUUGGGGACAAUUAUGUCAAACCUUACUUCCUUAUAUAUUAGUUCCCUUCCAUUUCUGAUACACUAUAUGGUGAUUUAAAACAGCAGUUUACAGUGAAAUUCAUUUACAACAACACCAUCCAUUGUGAUCACAAUGUCAUAAAUUUAUGUUUUAAGUAAUUUUUAAUGCUUGUAGCAGCUGGGGCCCUGAAGUGUGGAAAUAGCUAACAUUUUUCACCCUGUGCAGCCAAGGGAGAAGAAUUGUUGCUCUUUAAUUAUACAACCACCGAAGACAGCAUGCAAAGAGUGGAGCAGAGAUAAUUGCAAAGUAAGAAAUGAUGGGCCAGGACCAUAGCCGAGACGUUAAAUGAAGACACAGAGAUGCCGGGACGCUGCAGGUAAAGCCUGGAGCAGAAAUGUGCAUCCUCCAAAUUAAUAAGCAGCUGUAAUUGUAAGUCAAUUGAUUAAAAAAGGAAGCAAUGUUAGGAAGACGGGAUUAUACACAGAGUGAAAUACUGCCCUCUAACCCAAAAGAGCUGGAUCUAAAGGGUAGAUAGAUAAGGGAAGUGCUAACGCCUCCAUGCUCAGGCUUGCACGAGUGUCCAGGGUGCAGCGACGUGACAGUCCUGAGUGGCGCUGAUGGGGGGUCACCUGUGCCCUCCACGUGUCCCCAGGUCUCCGAGGGAAUCGUGCUAAGAUAAAUUGACACAAACCUGUGUUACCUCCCACCCCCACCGGAACACCCUCUAGGAGCUUCAGAAUUGGGGGAAGGAGAAAAGGAGCUUGAGGAAACACUGCUGACGACCCUGAUGAGCUCUGCCCAAACUCGCAGUCUCUCUGCCUCUGUUUCUCUCCCCCUGCCCGCCUCCUUCCUUCCCACCCCCUCCGUUUGGGCACCAUCUUGAACAAUGCACAGCUGGCUCGGUUUGUCCCCCGCAAAGCACCCGGCUAGGUUCUCCAUGGUGGCUCCUGACACAACUGGGUUUCAGCACUUCCCACUGAGUGGAGGACACUCCUCUGUCCCGGGUUCAUAGACCCCGCUGUCCAGCAGAAAUGUAACACAAGCCACGUGUGCAAUUCUAGUGAGAAGAAACAGGUGAAAUCCAUUUAAAGAAUAUAUAUUUUUUAACCCGAUAUAUUCAGAAUAAGAUCGUCCAGCAUGUACUUGAUAGACAAUCGUUAUUGAGCGAUUCUACACCCGUAAAUUUUUCUGCAGCCAGUCUUUGGGAGCCAGUGGCUCUCGGUUCAGACCAGGCAUGAGUCACAUGCUGGGGGCACUGCAUGUUGACGGUGCGGGUCCAGGCGCCGGGCCGGUUGCUGCUUCGGAUGAAAGCAACCUAAGGUGGUGUGAUAGACGGUCCCUCCUGCGUCCCAGACAGGCCAUCAGGGCGCGGAGAGCGGCAGCCACAGCAAUCCUCAAGGGAGGGUGUGGGUGAGGGCCCCCACAGGCCUGGUCAGGACUGACCUGUUCCGUCCCGGUAGGGGCCCCCCCCUCCUGCAUCCCCGAUCCAUCUGUGCUGGGUUCUGAUCUACAUCUACCUGGUCUGAGUCUGAAGCAGCACAGACAACUGUGCAAAGGGCCCUCCUGCCAGCCCCUUGGAGGAGCGACUUUUGAACAAGGACCUGAGGGGAGUGGGGGCUGCGGGAUUCCCGAGUGGAUGGGGGCGAGGCCGUGUGGACCCCCUCCUCUCUGGGAGCCCCCUGGUGCUUGGGUGUCCCUCAGCAGCGAGGUCCCAGUGCAGCCUCCAUCUCUCGGCCUCCACUCCCGCUGUGUUUCAGGGUAGGACACCUCGGGGUUGAGACUCCUCUGACUCUGCCCCGAGACUGGCCGUUCUCCACCCCACCACCUGGUUCUUGUCGGGACCCCAGAGGCUCACCCACGCAGCAGGCCCUGCGGGGAUGGCGCACGCCCGUCAUCAGAAAGUCUGACUUUUACGGUCUCCUCCCUCCCCUGUGCAGACCCUGCCAGGAGCCAAGAGCCCCUCAGGGGAGGGUUUGGGUGCGAAUUCUGCUGCCCGAUAUCAGCAAGUAAAGGUCCUAACAAUGAAGGAGAACAAGU
This is a non-coding RNA of Delphinapterus leucas (beluga whale), 3216 nucleotides long. NCBI's taxonomy places the organism in Eukaryota, Metazoa, Chordata, Mammalia, Artiodactyla, Monodontidae. The record is from RefSeq and is a predicted model, not a curated record.